GGUGUGGGCUCACGAGCCCCACCCCCACCAGGACCCACUGGCAGUUAACUGUAGCUGGGGAGAAGGGCUCAUGUGUCUCCACCUCUCCCUGAGGAUCUAUAGACAGUUGAUGCUGGCUGGGGAAGGAGAGGCAGUUUCGUCAGUGGUACAGCCACUGGAUUUCCUGAGCUCCAAGGGAGGACCCACAUAGUGUCUGGCUGUGGGUCUCUGUGUCUGUUCCCAUUGGCUGCUGGAGGAAGCUUCUCUGAUGAUGACUGGAUAAGGUAGUAUCCGUGAAAGGCUUUGAGCAGAAGAGGAAGGUCACUUGCAUCUCUGUGUCUGCUCAGCUGCCCAAACUCAGACUCCACAGCCUCAGGAUCAUUGAUCAGGAACAUUGGAUCCUUAAGAAGUAUAAACUAGACUUGUAAAGAGGAGAAUACUGAGUCUAAAUUUUAUUGUUCCACUCUCAACCCUACAACCAUCCAUCCAUAUCCCUGAGAAAAAUGAAACAUUUGGGAGAGGAGCAUCCUUUUCUUAGAAUUACUUCCUGCUGUCUAGGGGGUGAUGGUAUCUCUGUGGGGUCCUGUAAGAAAGCUUAGAUUUUUUAGGUCUCAAUAGGGCUAGUGGUAGAGUCUGAAGCCAGUCUCAGUAAUGGAUUAGAUUUUUCUGAGAUUCUGGCUAGAAGUGUAGUAUGAUGGAAUAUCUCAUCCAUUGGAACUGUCCUGAAGAGUUUUCAAUGCAAAGCUGAUCAUUGAGUAAUGUUAUUAGGUACCAUGGCACCUUUCUGGAUUGAGUAGAGUCAUUGUUGUGGGGCCCCAUCUUCCUUCUGGAGAUGUCAGAGAUUGCUAUUGGGAAGACUUAUUUUCACUGUGGAAAACUUGAACGUUAUUAAUAUCAAAAUGGAAAGUUUGGAUUUAAAGAUGACAUGACAUGUGAGGAAGGAUUCUGAGAAAUCAAGAAUAAGCAUGGAGGGAAAUACAAUCUUGAUAACAAUGGUCCUUAGAUUAUUGUUUUUCUUCUGUUUCACACUAGUUAGCUCUUCUGAUAUAAGACAGAAUCUCUUAAUUUUUUCUUUUAACAACAUAUUUGGGUUUAGAGAAUGAGAGAGCCACAUUUCAACUCCAAAGCCAGCUUGAUUUAUAAUUGAACCAAGACCACAACUAUUCUACAGUUAAAGAGAUAUUGAUAUUAGGCAGUGAGAUAUUACCCUGUAGAGUAUAUUGGUACCAAUAAAUUCUUCGCUUCUGCUGUAAA
Peromyscus eremicus (cactus mouse) is the source of this 1233-nucleotide long non-coding RNA. RefSeq lists it as uncharacterized. The transcript is spliced from 5 exons. The record is from RefSeq and is a predicted model, not a curated record. NCBI's taxonomy places the organism in Eukaryota, Metazoa, Chordata, Mammalia, Rodentia, Cricetidae.